RNAcentral lists this ribosomal RNA (153 nucleotides) under Trebouxia impressa. RNAcentral's name for it is "5.8S ribosomal RNA". It matches the Rfam family "5.8S ribosomal RNA". From Rfam's summary of the family: 5.8S ribosomal RNA (5.8S rRNA) is a component of the large subunit of the eukaryotic ribosome. Lineage: Eukaryota; Viridiplantae; Chlorophyta; Trebouxiophyceae; Trebouxiales; Trebouxiaceae. The record is from RNAcentral. RNAcentral also lists the same sequence under 3 other names.
AACUCUCAACAACGGAUAUCUUGGCUCCCGUAACGAUGAAGAACGCAGCGAAAUGCGAUACGUAGUGUGAAUUGCAGAAUUCCGUGAACCAUCGAAUCUUUGAACGCAAAUUGCGCUUGAGGCUUCGGCCAAGAGCAUGUCUGGCUCAGCGUC